This 71-nucleotide transfer RNA is filed under the name Marmota monax (woodchuck). RNAcentral's name for it is "tRNA.Ala". It matches the Rfam family "tRNA". From Rfam's summary of the family: Transfer RNA (tRNA) molecules are approximately 80 nucleotides in length. Their secondary structure includes four short double-helical elements and three loops (D, anti-codon, and T loops). The record is from RNAcentral. Lineage: Eukaryota; Metazoa; Chordata; Mammalia; Rodentia; Sciuridae.
GAGGUUGUGGCUCAGUGGCAGAGCGCUUGCCUAGCAUGUGGGAGGCCCUGGGUUCAAUCCUCAGCACCACA